This 779-nucleotide long non-coding RNA is filed under the name Cyanistes caeruleus (blue tit). RNAcentral's name for it is "lncRNA (ENSCCEG00000001349.1)". The record is from RNAcentral. Lineage: Eukaryota; Metazoa; Chordata; Aves; Passeriformes; Paridae.
AAUUAGGGAUCAACUCAUCAAAAAGGACCUUGGGGGGGGAAAUUUGGGGGGUCUCACUCUGGAUUUUGGGGUUUUUGGGGUUGUCAAUCAAAAUUUUGGGGUCGUUUUUUAGGAUUUUGGGGCUCGAAGUGGGCGGGGCCCCGAGGAAUUCACCGGGAUUGGGAUUUGGGGUUUGGAUUUGGGGAUUUUGGGGUCAAUUGUUGGGAUUUUGGGGUCGGUUAUUGGGAUUUUGGGAUUUUGGGGUCAAUUGUUGGGAUUUUGGGGUCAUUUAUUGGGAUUUUGGGGUCAGUUGUUGGGAUUUGGGGAUUUUGGGGUUGCCAAUGGAGAUUUUGGGGUCAGUUGUUGGGAUUUUGGGGUCAUUUAUUGGGAUUUUGGGGUCAAUUGUUGGGAUUUUGGGGUCUGUACAGGGAUUUUGGGGUCAGUUCUUGAGAUUUUGGGGUUUUUGGGGUCAUUUAUUGGGAUUUUGGGGUCGUUUAUUGAGAUUUGGGGAUUUUGGGGGUUGCCAAUGGAGAUUUUGGGUCAAUUGUUGAGAUUUCAGGGUCGGUUAUUGAGAUUUUGGGGUCAUUUAUUGGGAUUUUGGGGUCAGUUCUUGGGAUUUUGGGGUUUUUGGGGUCAGUUAUUGAGAUUUCGGGGUCAUUUAUUGGGAUUUUGGGGUCGGUUAUUGAGAUUUUCGUGUUUUUGGGGACGUUGAUGCAGAUUUUGGGGUCGGUUAUUGGGAUUUUGGGGUCAAUUGUUGGGAUUUUGGGGUCAUUUAUUGGGAUUUUGGGGUCAGUUGUUGG